GACGAACGCUGGCGGCGUGCCUAAUACAUGCAAGUAGAACGCUGACUACUUUAGCUUGCUAGAGUAGAAGGAGUUGCGAACGGGUGAGUAACGCGUGGGUAACCUGCCUACUAGCGGGGGAUAACUAUUGGAAACGAUAGCUAAUACCGCAUAACAGUGUUUAACACAUGUUAGAUGCUUGAAAGAUGCAAUUGCAUCACUAGUAGAUGGACCUACGUUGUAUUAGCUAGUUGGUGGGGUAACGGCCCACCAAGGCGACGAUACAUAGCCGACCUGAGAGGGUGAUCGGCCACACUGGGACUGAGACACGGCCCAGACUCCUACGGGAGGCAGCAGUAGGGAAUCUUCGGCAAUGGGGGCAACCCUGACCGAGCAACGCCGCGUGAGUGAAGAAGGUUUUCGGAUCGUAAAGCUCUGUUGUAAGAGAAGAACGUGUGUGAGAGUGGAAAGUUCACACAGUGACGGUAACUUACCAGAAAGGGACGGCUAACUACGUGCCAGCAGCCGCGGUAA
This 513-nucleotide ribosomal RNA is filed under the name uncultured bacterium. RNAcentral's name for it is "partial 16S ribosomal RNA". It matches the Rfam family "Bacterial small subunit ribosomal RNA", at positions 28 to 523 of the family's 1533-position model. The record is from RNAcentral.